This is a non-coding RNA of Jimgerdemannia flammicorona, 73 nucleotides long. The record is from the annotation of a GenBank genome assembly. Lineage: Eukaryota; Fungi; Mucoromycota; Endogonomycetes; Endogonales; Endogonaceae.
CGGGAGAUGGCUUAAUAGGUAAAGCACUUGAAUUGGGUACAAGAUAAUACCAGUUCGAAUCUGGUUCCCCCGA